Molecule: long non-coding RNA, 494 nt
Organism: Oncorhynchus keta (chum salmon)
Lineage: Eukaryota; Metazoa; Chordata; Actinopteri; Salmoniformes; Salmonidae
Exons: 3
Source: RefSeq, a predicted model, not a curated record
CGUGUGUGUGUGUGUUAGGGACGGCCGGCUGAAGGCUGGUGAUGAGCUCUUGAUGAUCAACGGUCAGUCUCUGGUUGGUCUGUCUCAUUCGGAGGCCGUGGCCGUCCUCCGCUCCUCCACUGGACUGGUACAACUGGUGGUCGCUAGCAGGGAGGAGUCCCAGGUGGAUUUCCACCGUUACCCAUCUACCAGCCUGCCAGACCUGGUCAGUACUUCCUCCUCCUCUCCUUCUCCUAGCAACAACAUGGAACCUCGUCACGGCCUGACCUCCAGCAGCCUCUCUCUACCCGCUACGCUGACUGAUCUGGAGAAGCUCGAGGACCGAGGACAGAUGGAGGGACCUAAAGGAACCUGCCGUUCUCCUACAUCCAUGAAGUUCAGGACCAGAUCACAAGGUAGAGAGGGAGAGGGAGAGGGAGGGAGGGAGACAAAGAGAGAGAGACAAAGAGAGAGAGACAAAGAGAGAGAGAGAGAGAGAGAGAGAGAGAGAGAGA